Molecule: ribosomal RNA, 511 nt
Filed under: Pedicia albivitta
Lineage: Eukaryota; Metazoa; Arthropoda; Insecta; Diptera; Pediciidae
Description: partial 16S ribosomal RNA
Rfam family: Bacterial large subunit ribosomal RNA
Source: RNAcentral
GUCUUUUUGAGUUUAAUUUAAAGUCUAGCCUGCCCACUGAAAUAUUUAAAGGGCCGCGGUAUUUUGACCGUGCAAAGGUAGCAUAAUCAUUAGUUUUUUAAUUGAAAGCUUGUAUGAAUGGUUGGACGAGGUAUUAGCUGUUUCAAAUAAAUUUUUAUUAGAAUUUAUCUUUUUUGUAAAAAGACAAAAAUAUUUUUAAAGGACGAGAAGACCCUAUAGAGCUUUAUAAUUUAUUUUUUAUAAUUUAUAAAGAAUAUUUAAAAUUUUAUUAAAAAAAUUAUUUUGUUGGGGUGACAAUAAGAUUUAAUAAACUCUUAUUAUUUUUUUCCAUUGAUUUAUGAAUUAUUGAUCCAUUAUUAAUGAUUAAAAAAUUAAGUUACCUUAGGGAUAACAGCGUAAUUUUUUUUAAGAGUUCAUAUCGACAAAAAAGAUUGCGACCUCGAUGUUGGAUUAAGAGUUAUUUUUAGGUGUAGAAGUUUAAAAUUUAGGUCUGUUCGACCUUUGAAUUCUU